RNAcentral lists this ribosomal RNA (468 nucleotides) under uncultured bacterium. RNAcentral's name for it is "partial 16S ribosomal RNA". It matches the Rfam family "Bacterial small subunit ribosomal RNA", at positions 28 to 507 of the family's 1533-position model. The record is from RNAcentral.
GACGAACGCUGGCGGCGUGCUUAACACAUGCAAGUCGAACGGAAAGGCCCUGCUUUUGUGGGGUGCUCGAGUGGCGAACGGGUGAGUAACACGUGAGUAACCUGCCCUUGACUUUGGGAUAACUUCAGGAAACUGGGGCUAAUACCGGAUAGGAGCUCCUGCUGCAUGGUGGGGGUUGGAAAGUUUCGGCGGUUGGGGAUGGACUCGCGGCUUAUCAGCUUGUUGGUGGGGUAGUGGCUUACCAAGGCUUUGACGGGUAGCCGGCCUGAGAGGGUGACCGGCCACAUUGGGACUGAGAGACGGCCCAGACUCCUACGGGAGGCAGCAGUGGGGAAUAUUGCACAAUGGGCGGGAGCCUGAUGCAGCAACGCCGCGUGCGGGAUGACGGCCUUCGGGUUGUAAACCGCUUUCGCCUGUGACGAAGCGUGAGUGACGGUAAUGGGUAAAGAAGCACCGGCUAACUACGUG